Molecule: transfer RNA, 77 nt
Filed under: Candidatus Pelagibacterales bacterium
Lineage: Bacteria; Pseudomonadati; Pseudomonadota; Alphaproteobacteria; Candidatus Pelagibacterales
Description: tRNA-Phe
Rfam family: tRNA
About the family: Transfer RNA (tRNA) molecules are approximately 80 nucleotides in length. Their secondary structure includes four short double-helical elements and three loops (D, anti-codon, and T loops).
Source: RNAcentral
GGCCGAAUAGCUCAGCCCGGUAGAGCAGCGCCCUGAAAAGGCGUGUGUCCCAAGUUCAAAUCUUGGUUCGGCCACCA